AGGUUGAUCCAGCAGUCGCUGCUUUGACUUGCUCUGCACAAGCUAAAGAUAUUAGUUUUUAACUUGUCCCGAGCAUGUUGAGGGAGAGGAAAGUCCGGGCACCAUAGGACAGCAUAGCGGGUAACGCCCGCCCAUCGUGAGGUGAGGACUAGUGGAACAGAGACGAGCCGGUUAAGUCCGGUUGAAACGGCUAAACUCUAUGCGGUGCAAACUCAAAUAGGCUGUGAACUUUCGCAAGGAAGUACGGUGUGGUCCGCUCCGUCAUAAAUGGCGGGUAGAGUGCUUGAGCAGGCUGGCAACAGACUGCCUAGAGAAAUGACUGCUUUAUAACAGAACCCGGCUUAUUGGAUCAACCUUCUU
This 360-nucleotide RNase P RNA is filed under the name Candidatus Margulisbacteria bacterium GWF2_35_9. RNAcentral's name for it is "RNase P RNA component class A". It matches the Rfam family "Bacterial RNase P class A". From Rfam's summary of the family: Ribonuclease P (RNase P) is a ubiquitous endoribonuclease, found in archaea, bacteria and eukarya as well as chloroplasts and mitochondria. Its best characterised activity is the generation of mature 5'-ends of tRNAs by cleaving the 5'-leader elements of precursor-tRNAs. The record is from RNAcentral. Lineage: Bacteria; Bacillati; Candidatus Margulisiibacteriota.